Long non-coding RNA from Herpailurus yagouaroundi (jaguarundi), 1244 nucleotides. RefSeq lists it as uncharacterized. The record is from RefSeq and is a predicted model, not a curated record. The transcript is spliced from 3 exons. Lineage: Eukaryota; Metazoa; Chordata; Mammalia; Carnivora; Felidae.
UGGGGACCCCUCAUUUAGGAGCCCUUGACUGCCGGGAACCCGAAUAAAAUCUGGGUUGAUACAAAAGAUCAGGGAGGGGAGAGAGGACUUUGCAAAGGAUUCUUGGGUUUCUUGUAAACUGGGCUUCCCCAGUGCAUCAUAGUUACUUUUAAAAUGCACUUCUGUGCCUGUUCUCCCCUUCCCUCCCCUUCCCUGAGUAAAGGGAGGGUUGCCUGUUCUGUCAUUGAGUAAAUUUUAGUUCACUGUUCCGUGGGGGCAUUUCCUAUUUGACGUUGUCCUGUACGCUGUUAACAACAGUGGUCCUGGGGCCCCAAUUAAAGAAGCCAGGCUGGGAUCAAGCAACGCUUCUCCGUCCUUGAGUGACGAUGUCUCCUCGAUCUCCGUGCCGCCGUCCUGUGGAGCUGUGUGGCACUUCAUCUGGAGAGGUGACAACCCAACAAAGCUCUGCCGAGGGCGCCCCCUGCUGCGGAGAGCACAAUAUUGCCUGGGGGACCUGGAAGGACAAACUUCCAACUGAGCGGCUAGACAUUUUCAGAUAAAAUUCCAGGCCCCUCUCCCCAAUCCAGGCCCAGCCUCCUGCUUGAUCAACUGAGACGGCGGAGGCCAAAGCAGGUUGAGCUCCCGGGGUCACGGCCAGGUCAGCUCCAGGCUCUGCUCAAAGCCGCCCCACAGCUCCCUGCUUGCUGAACGACACCCCAGAGUCCCUGGACCUUCGUCCUUGCAACCUCCAGGACCUCACCACGCGUCCGCUGCCCCCCUCCUCCUCCAUCACAGAUGAGCCUGGUUUUCCUCCAGAAGGAUCUCCAGCGACCAGCGCAGAUGUUGGCGGAAUGAACAAAUUGCCCGGCAGUAUUUACUGAGCACCUACUGCAUGCCCGCACACUCCCAGGCCGAGAAACAAAGUAACAAUGACAACCAAGGUGCCAGCCCUCCUGGAGGGACAGAUGCUCAUUACCAAACCACAGGAAAGUGGCUGCCCUCCCUCCCUUCAUCACACCCACCUCCACCCCACCCCUUUCCAGCACCAGCCUAUUCUUGUUCCAUAACCUUCCUGCUCUCCAAAGACCCCUGAAGACUAUCCUCCAGACUCCCGCUGGGUGUGUUCUUAGUCCCCUGACUUCUGGAGUCCAGACCCCACCCUCCUGGCCACCUCGGGACCUCACAUCUCCAGGCCUUUGCUUGGGCUCAGGCUCUGCUGUCUGCCUGCCAUGUUGCUUCUAACUCAGAAAAUUUCAGUCUACCUU